Capra hircus (goat) is the source of this 1054-nucleotide long non-coding RNA. RefSeq lists it as uncharacterized. The transcript is spliced from 3 exons. Lineage: Eukaryota; Metazoa; Chordata; Mammalia; Artiodactyla; Bovidae. The record is from RefSeq and is a predicted model, not a curated record.
UCAAGCAAACGGUGUCUGGGGCUGCAGAAACCUGGAGAGAGAGGAUCCAGGGUAAACAUGACUUCCAAGCUGACCAUUGCUCUUUUGCUUUCUUGGCAGUUUCAUGCUCUCUGUAGCAUCGGGCAAAGGCAGGGACCAGACUCUACUGGGAAAACUGGGAUGAGCUGAUGGUAGGAAUUUUGUCAUCUUUGUGCUAACCUAGACUUAUCAUUGUGGCCUGUGAAGAAGAUGGAGUCUAUAAUCCUCCAUGAGUGGGAAAAAAAGCAUUUGAACAUUACACUUCCACAUCAAAUGGUUUGUAGGAAAAUCUAUAUUUUUAGGUGUAUCAUGUCAUGUUCAUAAGACAGUAUUAAUAAUCUCAAUUCAUCCCAAAGCACUGAGCAAUCAGGAGAGAACUGGAUAAACAUGAUCCAUGAGGAAUAGAGCUGAAUGAAGCCAUAGGGAAGAAGCAUGCUUUGCUUGGGCAGGACUUGCACUGGUGACCUGACCAGCCUACUCUUUGUUUCCUUGCUAUGUCCUUCUCAAAGUAAACUAAGUAGGCAACAUAAACUGUGAUUAAACUGGGUUUUUAACAAUACUCAACUGUCUUUUAGAAUGGGCAGCUGUGUUUAUUUUCAAGUUUUAAAACUUAGGUAUCUAUGUGUGUACAUGUGCAUUUUCCUUUUUUUAAAGGUAAUAAAUGGUUAAAAUUUAUUAAAAUGGUAACUGUGUGUCAGCACUGUCUAUUGCUUUACAUUAUUUCAUUUAAUCUUUGCAACAGUUCUAUUAGUUAAAUAUUAUUAUCCCGUUUUCACAAAUGAGGAAACUGAGGCCCAAAAUAACAAGGCCUGGUAGUGUAUAUGAGAUCAUAAAGCUAGUAAAAAUGAUAAGCUAGACAGCCAAAUGCAGACCUUGAGUUUUUAUGUGUAAUGUUAGACCACUUUCUAUGUUCCUUAGAAUAUUUGAAAAAUAAUUGAAAAUGUCACAUAAUUGCAUUGCUAAGAUAUAGCUACGCCAGAGCCUUUGACUGUGUGGAUCACAAUACACUGUGGAAAGUUCUGAAAGAGGUGGGAAU